UUAUUGCAUCAAUCGCUGUCAUUUUGCUCAUCUGCCUGGUGAUUUGUGUUUGGUGUUGUAAGUUCAAACAUUCCACUCCACAGCGGACUCAGACUCGAGCGGAGACGGAGGUUCAAAUGCCAGACAAAAAGCCAGAAGAAGAAAUCCACUAUGGUGAAGUGAGCUUCGUCCCGAGGAGACCUGAAGCCUCGGCCGUCUCAGUGCAGGACAGUGGACAGCAGGACUUGGUGUAC
Gambusia affinis (western mosquitofish) is the source of this 233-nucleotide long non-coding RNA. RefSeq lists it as uncharacterized. Lineage: Eukaryota; Metazoa; Chordata; Actinopteri; Cyprinodontiformes; Poeciliidae. The transcript is spliced from 3 exons. The record is from RefSeq and is a predicted model, not a curated record.